This is a long non-coding RNA of Drosophila mojavensis, 445 nucleotides long. RefSeq lists it as uncharacterized. The record is from RefSeq and is a predicted model, not a curated record. NCBI's taxonomy places the organism in Eukaryota, Metazoa, Arthropoda, Insecta, Diptera, Drosophilidae. The transcript is spliced from 2 exons.
UUACAGUCUCAUAAGUUUAGUAAAUAAGCUUCUUGCACUAUGCAAAUUUUUAUACUUAUUUGUACUCUAAUAGCUCUCUUGGAGCAUAUGAUAUUCACGGAGCCUUUCGAAAAAAACUACAAUUUCUCUAGCGAUGUCAGCGCAUGAUUUACGAGGCCGUGGCUAGCAAAUGAAAAUUGUAGCAAAAACACACCAAGCUGGGGACAUGGAAAUAGGAGCUGUGUAUAGAGGAAGACUGUGCAAGACAUGGGGAAAGACAAUCCUGUUUCCCGGCGCUAAAGUUUUGGCCGCAAAACAGGAAGUGGAAAUAAGUGCGCCGGACGAUGAGAGACAUGUGAAAUGUGUUUGGCUCCCAAACCACUUGAAAUAAAAUAACAAAAAAGAAUAGAAAACGGGCACACAUGCAAAAUAAACGGGUUCAAGUGGCGCUCGUAAAAACAGGAGC